GAGAAGAAAGAUUCACCUCAGGUGAUGAUCAUUCUUAACUAAAUAUAUCUGCGUACUUCCAUACUUCUUUGUCUCUAUAUUAUUAAUUUCAAGUGUCCUUUACUCCAUACGCCCACCCAUUUCAAGAUGCCAAAUGGAUAACAAGUUAUAACACUAGUUUAGAAAGAAACUUCUAAAAUUUGAGUGACGGUGAAUUUCUAGCAAGCUCUAGUUCUAUUGGCGAAAUGGGACUGAAUAGUACUACCGCCUUGUUCGAGGAGAACUAGCGCUAAAUAUUACU
Molecule: unclassified non-coding RNA, 280 nt
Filed under: Hevea brasiliensis (rubber tree)
Lineage: Eukaryota; Viridiplantae; Streptophyta; Magnoliopsida; Malpighiales; Euphorbiaceae
Source: RNAcentral